GAUGAACGCUGGCGGCGUGCCUAAUACAUGCAAGUCGAGCGAACGGACGAGAAGCUUGCUUCUCUGAUGUUAGCGGCGGACGGGUGAGUAACACGUGGAUAACCUACCUAUAAGACUGGGAUAACUUCGGGAAACCGGAGCUAAUACCGGAUAAUAUUUUGAACCGCAUGGUUCAAAAGUGAAAGACGGUCUUGCUGUCACUUAUAGAUGGAUCCGCGCUGCAUUAGCUAGUUGGUAAGGUAACGGCUUACCAAGGCAACGAUGCAUAGCCGACCUGAGAGGGUGAUCGGCCACACUGGAACUGAGACACGGUCCAGACUCCUACGGGAGGCAGCAGUAGGGAAUCUUCCGCAAUGGGCGAAAGCCUGACGGAGCAACGCCGCGUGAGUGAUGAAGGUCUUCGGAUCGUAAAACUCUGUUAUUAGGGAAGAACAUAUGUGUAAGUAACUGUGCACAUCUUGACGGUACCUAAUCAGAAAGCCACGGCUAACUACGUGCCAGCAGCCGCGGUAAUACGUAGGUGGCAAGCGUUAUCCGGAAUUAUUGGGCGUAAAGCGCGCGUAGGCGGUUUUUUAAGUCUGAUGUGAAAGCCCACGGCUCAACCGUGGAGGGUCAUUGGAAACUGGAAAACUUGAGUGCAGAAGAGGAAAGUGGAAUUCCAUGUGUAGCGGUGAAAUGCGCAGAGAUAUGGAGGAACACCAGUGGCGAAGGCGACUUUCUGGUCUGUAACUGACGCUGAUGUGCGAAAGCGUGGGGAUCAAACAGGAUUAGAUACCCUGGUAGUCCACGCCGUAAACGAUGAGUGCUAAGUGUUAGGGGGUUUCCGCCCCUUAGUGCUGCAGCUAACGCAUUAAGCACUCCGCCUGGGGAGUACGACCGCAAGGUUGAAACUCAAAGGAAUUGACGGGGACCCGCACAAGCGGUGGAGCAUGUGGUUUAAUUCGAAGCAACGCGAAGAACCUUACCAAAUCUUGACAUCCUUUGACAACUCUAGAGAUAGAGCCUUCCCCUUCGGGGGACAAAGUGACAGGUGGUGCAUGGUUGUCGUCAGCUCGUGUCGUGAGAUGUUGGGUUAAGUCCCGCAACGAGCGCAACCCUUAAGCUUAGUUGCCAUCAUUAAGUUGGGCACUCUAAGUUGACUGCCGGUGACAAACCGGAGGAAGGUGGGGAUGACGUCAAAUCAUCAUGCCCCUUAUGAUUUGGGCUACACACGUGCUACAAUGGACAAUACAAAGGGCAGCGAAACCGCGAGGUCAAGCAAAUCCCAUAAAGUUGUUCUCAGUUCGGAUUGUAGUCUGCAACUCGACUACAUGAAGCUGGAAUCGCUAGUAAUCGUAGAUCAGCAUGCUACGGUGAAUACGUUCCCGGGUCUUGUACACACCGCCCGUCACACCACGAGAGUUUGUAACACCCGAAGCCGGUGGAGUAACCUUUUAGGAGCUAGCCGUCGAAGGUGGGACAAAUGAUUGGGGUGAAGUCGUAACAAGGUAGCCGUAUCGGAAGGUGCGGCU
Molecule: ribosomal RNA, 1511 nt
Filed under: Staphylococcus aureus
Lineage: Bacteria; Bacillati; Bacillota; Bacilli; Caryophanales; Staphylococcaceae
Description: 16S ribosomal RNA
Rfam family: Bacterial small subunit ribosomal RNA
Source: RNAcentral